This 72-nucleotide transfer RNA is filed under the name Marmota marmota marmota (Alpine marmot). It matches the Rfam family "tRNA". Rfam says of the family: Transfer RNA (tRNA) molecules are approximately 80 nucleotides in length. Their secondary structure includes four short double-helical elements and three loops (D, anti-codon, and T loops). RNAcentral also lists the same sequence under 3 other names. The record is from Rfam by way of RNAcentral. Lineage: Eukaryota; Metazoa; Chordata; Mammalia; Rodentia; Sciuridae.
GGGGGUGUAGCUCAGUGGUAGAACACUUGCCUAGCAUGUAUAAGACCCUGGGUUUGAUCCCCAGCACCACAG